GUCUCUGUGGCUCAGUUGGAAGAGCGUUGGUCUCAUAUUACCCAAUAGAUAUGACUUGGCUUGAAGCCAGGGACAUCCAAAGGUCGCAAGUUCGAGCCUUGCCAGGGACA
RNAcentral lists this transfer RNA (110 nucleotides) under Colletotrichum orchidophilum. It matches the Rfam family "tRNA". Rfam says of the family: Transfer RNA (tRNA) molecules are approximately 80 nucleotides in length. Their secondary structure includes four short double-helical elements and three loops (D, anti-codon, and T loops). Further hydrogen bonds mediate the characteristic L-shaped molecular structure. tRNAs have two regions of fundamental functional importance: the anti-codon, which is responsible for specific mRNA codon recognition, and the 3' end, to which the tRNAs corresponding amino acid is attached (by aminoacyl-tRNA synthetases). tRNAs cope with the degeneracy of the genetic code in two manners: having more than one tRNA (with a specific anti-codon) for a particular amino acid; and 'wobble' base-pairing, i.e. permitting non-standard base-pairing at the 3rd anti-codon position. The record is from Rfam by way of RNAcentral. Lineage: Eukaryota; Fungi; Ascomycota; Sordariomycetes; Glomerellales; Glomerellaceae.